AAAAAGUAGUUUUUAGAAAUGUAAUCAGGAUAGUAAGAGUUACACUGCUGUAAAGCAUUUAGGAGCUCCUUGCAGGUCUAAGUGUUUUCCAAAUAAAAUGUUAGAGGAAGCUCAGUAGAUGUUGGUUAAAACUAGAUUAAAUUGAAUGAUAAAUUGAAAAAGAGUUAGAUUUGAAAAAGAAAAAAAUACGUCUGUUAACCAUUAAGUAAAUGGUAAAAUUUGAAAAUUAUACCUUCAUAUACAGAUUGGAAAUGCAAAAAUUAUACUUGGGAACCUUAAGAAAAAUUUCAGGGGGAAGUAGGAUUUCAUUGAGGUUUUUUAAAUUAAGAAAUCACCAGCUAAGAAAAUUAAGGAGAAAUUGCUCAAAAAUACCCACAGGCAAAAUACCCAAAGGCAAAAUAUAGCAAAGUUAAUGGCAAGAAGCUUGAUUUACAAAUUUGAGUGAUAGUCCUAAAGAUCAGUGAUUGAUAUAAAGAAAGGAUAUGUAAAUUAUUUCU
This 497-nucleotide long non-coding RNA is filed under the name Bos taurus (domestic cattle). RNAcentral describes it as "long non-coding RNA NONBTAT010747". Lineage: Eukaryota; Metazoa; Chordata; Mammalia; Artiodactyla; Bovidae. The record is from RNAcentral.